UUUGAGGUAGGUUAAGAAAUACUGCAUAUUU
Molecule: non-coding RNA, 31 nt
Filed under: Rattus norvegicus (Norway rat)
Lineage: Eukaryota; Metazoa; Chordata; Mammalia; Rodentia; Muridae
Source: RNAcentral